Molecule: ribosomal RNA, 696 nt
Filed under: Triticum aestivum (bread wheat)
Lineage: Eukaryota; Viridiplantae; Streptophyta; Magnoliopsida; Poales; Poaceae
Description: partial small subunit ribosomal RNA
Source: RNAcentral
AUGGAUCUCUUGGGAGAACAAUGGGUGCCUCCUGGACAUCUGCGCAAAUUUGGGUCACAUGUGCCCACCCAACUCUCUGCACUGCGAGGGUGGAUAGACAGAGACCCCUCGCAUCUCUCGAACCUCUCCGCGUUAAUCCUCGAUUCAGUGAAGGAAGUGCAACAGGAGGACAUGAAAAUCAUUGGGGGGCUGCUGUCCCUUCGGCGUCUUGUCAUAAAGAGCACCCACCAAACAGAACGGCUGAUAGUCGUCAGUGCAUAUGGGUUCCGCUAUAUGGUUGACUUUUGCUUGGACUGUGGAUCAGCAGCGCAGAUAAUGUUUGAACCAGGGGCUUUGCCAAGUGUGGAAGCAAUUGAGUUCAGCCUCAGCGUGGGGGUGGCGAAAGAGGAUGGUAAUGUCGAUUUCGACUUCGGUCUUCAAGGGAACAUGCUCUCCCUUCGGCGGUCUGUCUCUGUUGGUUUUUAUUUUGGUGGAGCGAGGGUUGUCGAGGCGAAGGAAGCGGAGGCUGCGGUGAGGCACGCGCUCCACGCCCACCCCAACCAACCGGAGAUUAAAAUUUCUGUUAAUCCACCCUUUGCAGAGGGUAUUGAGGAAUGGAUGUCCAGACCGAAUGAAGCGAAAUCAUCUUACGCUUGUUCAGGUUUGGACUUUGGGAGAAAUGCUCCUUCCUCGCUCAUAUACGGUGCUAGGCGCUGA